GAUGAACGCUGGCGGCGUGCCUAAUACGUGCAAGUCGAGCGAACAGACGAGGAGCUUGCUCCUUUGACGUUAGCGGCGGACGGGUGAGUAACACGUAGGUAACCUACCUAUAAGACUGGGAUAACUUCGGGAAACCGGAGCUAAUACCGGAUAAUAUUUCGAACCGCAUGGUUCGAUAGUGAAAGAUGGCUUUGCUAUCACUUAUAGAUGGACCUGCGCCGUAUUAGCUAGUUGGUAAGGUAACGGCUUACCAAGGCAACGAUACGUAGCCGACCUGAGAGGGUGAUCGGCCACACUGGAACUGAGACACGGUCCAGACUCCUACGGGAGGCAGCAGUAGGGAAUCUUCCGCAAUGGGCGAAAGCCUGACGGAGCAACGCCGCGUGAGUGAUGAAGGUCUUCGGAUCGUAAAACUCUGUUAUUAGGGAAGAACAAACGUGUAAGUAACUGUGCACGUCUUGACGGUACCUAAUCAGAAAGCCACGGCUAACUACGUG
RNAcentral lists this ribosomal RNA (497 nucleotides) under uncultured bacterium. RNAcentral describes it as "partial 16S ribosomal RNA". It matches the Rfam family "Bacterial small subunit ribosomal RNA", at positions 28 to 507 of the family's 1533-position model. The record is from RNAcentral.